Molecule: ribosomal RNA, 468 nt
Filed under: uncultured bacterium
Lineage: Bacteria
Description: partial 16S ribosomal RNA
Rfam family: Bacterial small subunit ribosomal RNA
Source: RNAcentral
GACGAACGCUGGCGGCGUGCCUAACACAUGCAAGUCGAACGGCAAGGCCCUGCUUUUGUGCGGUGCUCGAGUGCCGAACGGGUGCGUAUCACGUGUGUAACCUGCCCUUGUCUUUGGGAUAACUUCAGGAAACUGGGGCUAAUAUCGGAUAGGAUCUCCUGCUGCAUGGUGGGGGUUGGAAAGUUUCGGCGGUUGGGGAUGGACUCGCGGCUUAGCGGCUUGUUGGUUGGGUAGUGGCUUACCAAGGCUUUGACGGGUAGCCGGCCUGGGAGGGUGACCGGGCACAUGGGGACUGAGGGAGGACCAAGAGGGCAACGGGGGGCAGCGGGGGGAAACAUGACACACAGAGCGGAAGCCGGAGACAACGACUCCGGGGGCGGAAAGACGGCCUGCGGGGAAUAAACCGCUUUAGCCUGUGACGAAGCGUGAGUGACGGUAAUGAGUGAAGAAGCACCGGCUAACUACGUG